GACGAACGCUGGCGGCGUGCCUAAUACAUGCAAGUAGAACGCUGAAGAGAGGAGCUUACUCUUCUUGGAUGAGUUGCGAACGGGUGAGUAACGCGUAGGUAACCUGCCUUGUAGCGGGGGAUAACUAUUGGAAACGAUAGCUAAUACCGCAUAACAAUGGAUGACACAUGUCAUUUAUUUGAAAGGGGCAAUUGCUCCACUACAAGAUGGACCUGCGUUGUAUUAGCUAGUAGGUGAGGUAAUGGCUCACCUAGGCGACGAUACAUAGCCGACCUGAGAGGGUGAUCGGCCACACUGGGACUGAGACACGGCCCAGACUCCGACGGGAGGCAGCAGUAGGGAAUCUGCGGCAAUGGGGGCAAACCUGACCGAGCAACGCCGCGUGAGUGAAGAAGGUUUUCGGAUCGUAAAGCUCUGUUGUAAGUCAAGAACGGGUGUGAGAGUGGAAAGUUCACACUGUGACGGUAGCUUACCAGAAAGGGACGGCUAACUACGUG
RNAcentral lists this ribosomal RNA (497 nucleotides) under uncultured bacterium. RNAcentral describes it as "partial 16S ribosomal RNA". It matches the Rfam family "Bacterial small subunit ribosomal RNA", at positions 28 to 507 of the family's 1533-position model. The record is from RNAcentral.